GACGUGCUAAUCUGCGAUAAGCGUCGGUAAGGUGAUAUGAACCGUUAUAACCGGCGAUUUCCGAAUGGGGAAACCCAGUGUGAUUCGUCACACUAUCAUUAACUGAAUCCAUAGGUUAAUGAGGCGAACCGGGGGAACUGAAACAUCUAAGUACCCCGAGGAAAAGAAAUCAACCGAGAUUCCCCCAGUAGCGGCGAGCGAACGGGGAGGAGCCCAGAGCCUGAAUCAGUGUGUGUGUUAGUGGAAGCGUCUGGAAAGGCGCGCGAUACAGGGUGACAGCCCCGUACACAAAAAUGCACAUGCUGUGAGCUCGAUGAGUAGGGCGGGACACGUGGUAUCCUGUCUGAAUAUGGGGGGACCAUCCUCCAAGGCUAAAUACUCCUGACUGACCGAUAGUGAACCAGUACCGUGAGGGAAAGGCGAAAAGAACCCCGGCGAGGGGAGUGAAAAAGAACCUGAAACCGUGUACGUACAAGCAGUGGGAGCACAGAGCAAUCUGUGUGACUGCGUACCUUUUGUAUAAUGGGUCAGCGACUUAUAUUCUGUAGCAAGGUUAACCGAAUAGGGGAGCCGAAGGGAAACCGAGUCUUAACUGGGCGUUAAGUUGCAGGGUAUAGACCCGAAACCCGGUGAUCUAGCCAUGGGCAGGUUGAAGGUUGGGUAACACUAACUGGAGGACCGAACCGACUAAUGUUGAAAAAUUAGCGGAUGACUUGUGGCUGGGGGUGAAAGGCCAAUCAAACCGGGAGAUAGCUGGUUCUCCCCGAAAGCUAUUUAGGUAGCGCCUCGUGAAUUCAUCUCCGGGGGUAGAGCACUGUUUCGGCAAGGGGGUCAUCCCGACUUACCAACCCGAUGCAAACUGCGAAUACCGGAGAAUGUUAUCACGGGAGACACACGGCGGGUGCUAACGUCCGUCGUGAAGAGGGAAACAACCCAGACCGCCAGCUAAGGUCCCAAAGUCAUGGUUAAGUGGGAAACGAUGUGGGAAGGCCCAGACAGCCAGGAUGUUGGCUUAGAAGCAGCCAUCAUUUAAAGAAAGCGUAAUAGCUCACUGGUCGAGUCGGCCUGCGCGGAAGAUGUAACGGGGCUAAACCAUGCACCGAAGCUGCGGCAGCGACACUGUGUGUUGUUGGGUAGGGGAGCGU
RNAcentral lists this ribosomal RNA (1145 nucleotides) under Escherichia coli. RNAcentral's name for it is "partial 23S ribosomal RNA". It matches the Rfam family "Bacterial large subunit ribosomal RNA", at positions 55 to 1239 of the family's 2925-position model. Lineage: Bacteria; Pseudomonadati; Pseudomonadota; Gammaproteobacteria; Enterobacterales; Enterobacteriaceae. The record is from RNAcentral.